RNAcentral lists this unclassified non-coding RNA (335 nucleotides) under soil metagenome. Its description in RNAcentral is "partial contains 5.8S ribosomal RNA, internal transcribed spacer 2, and large subunit ribosomal RNA". The stretch from base 1 to 120 matches the Rfam family "5.8S ribosomal RNA", at positions 35 to 154 of the family's 154-position model. The record is from RNAcentral.
GAUGAAGAACGUAGCGAAAUGCGAUAAGUAAUGUGAAUUGCAGAAUUCAGUGAAUCAUCGAAUCUUUGAACGCACAUUGCGCCCGCCAGUAUUCUGGCGGGCAUGCCUGUUCGAGCGUCAUUUCAACCAUCAAGCCCCCGGCUUGUGUUGGGGACCUGCGGCUGCCGCAGGCCCUGAAAACCAGUGGCGGGCUCGCUAGUCACUCCGAGAGUAGUAAUACAUCUCGCUCAGGGCGUGCUGCGGGUUCCGGCCGUUAAAAAGCCUUAUUUACCCAAGGUUGACCUCGGAUCAGGUAGGAAGACCCGCUGAACUUAAGCAUAUCAAUAAGCGGAGGA